GACGGAGGAGGCAAGCGUUAUCCGGAAUUAUUGGGCGUAAAGCGUCCGUAGGUGGUUAUUCAAGUCUUUUGUUAAAUAGUGGAGCUCAACUCCAUAGAGGCGGAAGAAACUGAGUAACUUGAGUGCGGUAGGGGUAGAGGGAAUUCCAGGUGUAGCGGUGAAAUGCGUAGAUAUCUGGAAGAACACCAGUGGCGAAGGCGCUCUACUGGGCCGUAACUGACACUGAGGGACGAAAGCGUGGGGAGCGAACAGG
Molecule: ribosomal RNA, 253 nt
Filed under: uncultured bacterium
Lineage: Bacteria
Description: partial 16S ribosomal RNA
Rfam family: Bacterial small subunit ribosomal RNA
Source: RNAcentral